UUACGGUCAUAUAACAUUGAAUCAUUGGUUCCUGUACGAUCACCGAAGUUAAGCAACAUUGAGCCUGGUCAUUACCUAUGUGGGUGACCGCUUGGGAAUACCAGAUACUGAAA
Molecule: non-coding RNA, 113 nt
Organism: Acanthosepion pharaonis
Lineage: Eukaryota; Metazoa; Mollusca; Cephalopoda; Sepiida; Sepiidae
Source: the annotation of a GenBank genome assembly